UCGGGGUGAGCGGCGGACGGGUUAGUAACGCGUGGGAACGUACCCUUUUCUGCGGAAUAGCCUCUGGAAACGGAGAGUAAUACCGCAUACGCCCUUCGGGGGAAAGAUUUAUCGGAGAAGGAUCGGCCCGCGUUAGAUUAGAUAGUUGGUGGGGUAACGGCUUACCAAGUCUACGAUCUAUAGCUGGUUUUAGAGGAUGAUCAGCAACACUGGGACUGAGACACGGCCCAGACUCCUACGGGAGGCAGCAGUGGGGAAUCUUGGACAAUGGGCGCAAGCCUGAUCCAGCCAUGCCGCGUGAGUGAAGAAGGCCUUAGGGUCGUAAAGCUCUUUCGCCUGUGAUGAUAAUGACAGUAGCAGGUAAAGAAACCCCGGCUAACUCCGUG
RNAcentral lists this ribosomal RNA (386 nucleotides) under uncultured bacterium. RNAcentral describes it as "bacterial SSU rRNA". It matches the Rfam family "Bacterial small subunit ribosomal RNA", at positions 86 to 507 of the family's 1533-position model. The record is from RNAcentral.